RNAcentral lists this ribosomal RNA (497 nucleotides) under uncultured bacterium. RNAcentral's name for it is "partial 16S ribosomal RNA". It matches the Rfam family "Bacterial small subunit ribosomal RNA", at positions 28 to 507 of the family's 1533-position model. The record is from RNAcentral.
GAUGAACGCUGGCGGCGUGCCUAAUACAUGCAAGUCGAGCGAACAGAUAAGGAGCUUGCUCCUUUGACGUUAGCGGCGGACGGGUGAGUAACACGUGGGUAACCUACCUAUAAGACUGGGAUAACUUUGGGAAACCGGAGCUAAUACCGGAUAACAUUUGGAACCGCAUGGUUCUAAAGUGAAAGAUGGUUUUGCUAUCACUUAUAGAUGGACCCGCGCCGUAUUAGCUAGUUGGUAAGGUAACGGCUUACCAAGGCAACGAUACGUAGCCGACCUGAGAGGGUGAUCGGCCACACUGGAACUGAGACACGGUCCAGACUCCUACGGGAGGCAGCAGUAGGGAAUCUUCCGCAAUGGGCGAAAGCCUGACGGAGCAACGCCGCGUGAGUGAUGAAGGGUUUCGGCUCGUAAAACUCUGUUAUUAGGGAAGAACAAACGUGUAAGUAACUGUGCACGUCUUGACGGUACCUAAUCAGAAAGCCACGGCUAACUACGUG